RNAcentral lists this ribosomal RNA (460 nucleotides) under uncultured bacterium. Its description in RNAcentral is "partial 16S ribosomal RNA". It matches the Rfam family "Bacterial small subunit ribosomal RNA", at positions 338 to 795 of the family's 1533-position model. The record is from RNAcentral.
CCUACGGGUGGCAGCAGUGAGGAAUAUUGGUCAAUGGGCGCGAGCCUGAACCAGCCAAGUAGCGUGAAGGAUGACUGCCCUACGGGUUGUAAGCUUCUUUUAUAAAGGAAUAAAGUGAGGCACGUGUGCCUUUUUGUAUGUACGUUAUGAAUAAGGAUCGGCUAACUCAGUGCCAUCAGCCGCGGUAAUACGGAGGAUCCGAGCGUUAUCCGGAUUUAUUGGGUUUAAAGGGAGCGUAGAUGGGUUGUUAAGACAGUUGUGAAAGUUUGCGGCUCAACCGUAAAAUUGCAUUUGAUACUGGCAGCCUUGAGUACAGUUGAGGUAGGCGGAAUUCGAUGUGUAGCGGUGAAAUGCUUAGAUAUCACGAAGAACUCCGAUUGCGAAGGCAGCUUACUAAACUGCCACUGACAUUGAUGCUCGAAAGUGUGGGUAUCAAACAGGAUUAGAUACCCUUGUAGUC